AGAUCUGCUGGAGCUCUUGGUUCUCGCCUUACCGGAGCAGGCUGGGGUGGUUGUACCGUUUCCAUGGUACCAAGUAGUCUACUUCAUGAUUUCUUACAUAAAGUACAGUUUGAAUAUUACAGUAAAGAUCCAGCCAAACUGGCAGUGAUUAAUCAUAGUUUGUUUGCAACGUCCCCUGGUGGUGGAGCCGCCAUUAUCACUUCGGAAGCCAUUAAAGACUGCAGUAAUUUAUAAUUGAAGUUUAUAAUGAAUAUUUAUAUAAAGAAUGAUUUCCUCGAGAUUCAAUACGAGUUCAGAACCAUUUUAAAGUUGAAACAUCUGAAUUGAUAUUUUGUUUUCUAUCCAAAAUUUGUAAACAUACGUGAAUAAACCGUACGUGUACGUGAAUAAUAGACGUGCACAAUUUCCGUCUUGUAUUGAUUGAAUUUCAUUAAAGUGCGACUAACCCUAAAUAUGAUUUUUUGUAUGUGUAAUAUUUGGGUCAUUCGAAGAAGAAAUGUAAUAUAUCUUUAUAAUAAAAAAUCUUAUCUUGAUCAACUUUUUCACUGUCAAAGUUUGCGGGUAUGAUGUCAUUAGGUGAAAAUUUUGCAAAUUAGUUUUCCUUUGUUUUUUGUACCAAAAAUUCACCUAAUGACAUCAUAUCCGGAAACUUUGACAGUGAAAAAGUUGACCAAGAUGAGGUUUUUACUAUAAAGAUAUAUUACAUUUCUUCUUAGAAUAACCCAAGUAUUACCCAUACCAAAAAUCAUACUUGGGGUUAGGCACACUUUAAAAAUAUUACGUUACAAUGAUGCAUUCAGUGAUGACAAAAUGGAAUUAAAUAGCACUCCGACACGUACGCCCGUAUUCUAAAAGCUCACUCACACUCAAUGAGUGGAGGUUCAAUCUGAGCUUCUCUCGAGUGUCAGUGCUGUUUUUGAAUAGCUGAAGGGUUAGUGUCGUACCUUAAUAUGUGACUACUCACCCUCCAGCUAUUCAAAAAUAACAUUGACACUCAAGAAAAGCUCAGAUUGAACCUCCACUCAUUGAAUGUGAGUGUGAGUGAGCUUUUAGAAUACGGGCGGUAAUUAAACCCAGUGAGCUCCAUAUAUAUCUGGAGCGAGAACUCGAGUCUAAAAAGCGGCGAAAAUUGAUGAGCUAUUAACGUCAGUUCCAGUCCCUUUCUAUUGUUUUUGUCUGCGCGGUUAACACGAAGCUGGCGAGGAGUGUGCCAAAAUUUGGUAUUUUGACGUUUUAAAGAAUAUUAUUAUUUAGCUGGGGAAAAGUGGUAUUAAAACUGUUUACGACCUUCGUAGCUAUUGGACGUCAAUUUCUGCCAUCUUGGCAUCACGUUUCUCAUAGACUGAAUGAAUAAAGUUCCUGCUCCAGAUAUAUAGAGCUCACUGGUGAAACCUUAUGCACUUCAUAUAUAUUUCUAUUCAGAGAUCAUAACUCUUCUAUACAAUCAGCUUAUGAUAUUUUAGUUUUGCUGUUCAACGACAAUUGGCAAUGUCAAUGACUGCAAAUUUGUUCAUCAUGCAAUUUGGUCUUAUUCGGCAGAUAUUUUAAACUGAACAGACGUCAUAUAACUGGCUUCUGACUUUUCUGAAAGCUUAAAAAUUUUUUAUUUUCUUUAUCUCUGAUUCUGUGAUAAAACGUAAAUUGAUAGGGGGCUUAGGGGACAGGAUUAAAAACUAUGUUUGUGUCAGUUUGUAGUAAUCUUCAACACAUACAUAGUACAUAUGACAUAACAUAAGAUUUUAAGUAAAGUCGGGUGACAAAGGUUGCCAAAGACGCUGCUUGCAUAAGUUAAGCUGACCAAUUAGUUGACAAACGUAUUUCCCAG
Non-coding RNA from Paramuricea clavata, 1825 nucleotides. The record is from the annotation of a GenBank genome assembly. NCBI's taxonomy places the organism in Eukaryota, Metazoa, Cnidaria, Anthozoa, Malacalcyonacea, Plexauridae.